This 205-nucleotide long non-coding RNA is filed under the name Ricinus communis (castor bean). Its description in RNAcentral is "long non-coding RNA (RCOM_LNC001660)". The record is from RNAcentral. Lineage: Eukaryota; Viridiplantae; Streptophyta; Magnoliopsida; Malpighiales; Euphorbiaceae.
UUUCAUUUGUUUAGUUUUUAAAACUUUUAUUUUUAUUUUUUUUAUAUUUUCUUGUCAUUUUGUUUUUCUUUCUACAUCUUCUUUUCCUUUUCUCCUUAUUUCUUUUGUUUUUGCACACCACUGCAAAUUAAUUAUCUUGUAUUUUGUGUUCCAUACUUGAUUCAUAUAUUGAGUAAUAAGAAAUCUGAAUUUCAUCGCAACCUAC